AACGAACGCUGGCGGCAUGCCUAACACAUGCAAGUCGAACGAAGCCUUCGGGCUUAGUGGCGCACGGGUGCGUAACACGUGGGAAUCUGCCCUUCGGUUCGGAAUAACAGUUAGAAAUGACUGCUAAUACCGGAUGAUGACGAAAGUCCAAAGAUUUAUCGCCGAAGGAUGAGCCCGCGUAGGAUUAGGUAGUUGGUAGGGUAAUGGCCUACCAAGCCGACGAUCCUUAGCUGGUCUGAGAGGAUGAUCAGCCACACUGGGACUGAGACACGGCCCAGACUCCUACGGGAGGCAGCAGUGGGGAAUAUUGGACAAUGGGCGAAAGCCUGAUCCAGCAAUGCCGCGUGAGUGAUGAAGGGCCC
This 362-nucleotide ribosomal RNA is filed under the name uncultured bacterium. RNAcentral's name for it is "bacterial SSU rRNA". It matches the Rfam family "Bacterial small subunit ribosomal RNA", at positions 29 to 418 of the family's 1533-position model. The record is from RNAcentral.